ACAUACGACCAUAGGGUGUGGAAGACAGGGCUUCCCGUCCGCUCAGCCGUACUUAAGCCACACGCCGGGAGGUUAGUAGUUGGGUGGGUGACCACCAGCGAAUCCCUUCUGUUGUAUGUU
RNAcentral lists this ribosomal RNA (120 nucleotides) under Aspergillus tubingensis CBS 134.48. Lineage: Eukaryota; Fungi; Ascomycota; Eurotiomycetes; Eurotiales; Aspergillaceae. The record is from RNAcentral.